ACUCCUACGGGAGGCAGCAGUAGGGAAUCUUCGGCAAUGGACGAAAGUCUGACCGAGCAACGCCGCGUGAGUGAAGAAGGUUUUCGGAUCGUAAAACUCUGUUGUUAGAGAAGAACAAGUGAUAGAGUAACUGUUAUCACCUUGACGGUAUCUAACCAGAAAGCCACGGCUAACUACGUGCCAGCAGCCGCGGUAAUACGUAGGUGGCAAGCGUUGUCCGGAUUUAUUGGGCGUAAAGCGAGCGCAGGCGGUCUUUUAAGUCUGAUGUGAAAGCCCUCGGCUCAACCGAGGAAGGUCAUUGGAAACUGGAAGACUUGAGUGCAGAAGAGGAGAGUGGAAUUCCAUGUGUAGCGGUGAAAUGCGUAGAUAUAUGGAGGAACACCAGUGGCGAAGGCGACUCUCUGGUCUGUAACUGACGCUGAGGCUCGAAAGCGUGGGGAGCAAACAGGAUUAGAUACCCUGCUGA
Molecule: ribosomal RNA, 466 nt
Filed under: uncultured bacterium
Lineage: Bacteria
Description: bacterial SSU rRNA
Rfam family: Bacterial small subunit ribosomal RNA
Source: RNAcentral